This 180-nucleotide non-coding RNA is filed under the name Xenorhabdus beddingii. Its description in RNAcentral is "FMN sequence". It matches the Rfam family "FMN riboswitch aptamer (RFN element)". From Rfam's summary of the family: The RFN element is a highly conserved domain that is found frequently in the 5'-untranslated regions of prokaryotic mRNAs that encode for flavin mononucleotide (FMN) biosynthesis and transport proteins. This element is a metabolite-dependent riboswitch that directly binds FMN in the absence of proteins. Lineage: Bacteria; Pseudomonadati; Pseudomonadota; Gammaproteobacteria; Enterobacterales; Morganellaceae. The record is from RNAcentral.
UGUUUAUCUCAGGGCAGGGUGAAAGUCCCUACCGGCGGUAACAUGAAAUGGUCUGAUGAUGAUUUUAUGCAGCCCGCGAGCGCUCUGUUUGUGGUUAUUCUUAACGAAAUAAAACAGAGGUCAGCAGAUCCAGUGUAAUUCUGGAGCCGACGGUGAAAGUCCGGAUGGGAGAGAAUAACA